UACAGAGGGGGCAAGCGUUGUUCGGAAUUACUGGGCGUAAAGGGCGCGUAGGCGGCCUUCUAAGUCGAACGUGAAAUCCCCGGGCUCAACCCGGGAACUGCGUCCGAUACUGGAAGGCUUGAAUCCGGGAGAGGGAUGCGGAAUUCCAGGUGUAGCGGUGAAAUGCGUAGGAUAUCUGGAGGAACACCGGUGGCGAAGGCGGCAUCCUGGACCGGCAUUGACGCUGAGGCGCGAAAGCCAGGGGAGCAAAGCGGG
Molecule: ribosomal RNA, 255 nt
Filed under: uncultured bacterium
Lineage: Bacteria
Description: partial 16S ribosomal RNA
Rfam family: Bacterial small subunit ribosomal RNA
Source: RNAcentral